Non-coding RNA from Ictalurus punctatus (channel catfish), 636 nucleotides. The record is from the annotation of a RefSeq genome assembly. NCBI's taxonomy places the organism in Eukaryota, Metazoa, Chordata, Actinopteri, Siluriformes, Ictaluridae.
GUUGAUAAACAUUCAGCUCAACAUCAUACCAGCAGUUUGUGUGUAUUUACAGAAACAGUAACCAUUUGAGAUGGAACUAGGCAGAGCUCUGAGUUACUUUGCUCUAGCAACAAUUAUUCAAUAUUCCUGCAGUCAGACACUGAUUGAGUCGGAGUCAGUGGUCAUCAAACCUGAUCAGUCUCAUAAACUGACCUGUACAGCCUCUGGAUUUAACUUUGGUAGCUAUUACAUGGCCUGGAUUAGACAGGCACCUGGAAAAGGGCUGGAAUUUGUUGCAACUAUCUCAGACGGCAGUAGUAGCAAGUAUUACUCCAGUGCAGUUAAUGGCCGCUUCACCAUCUCCAGAGACAACAGUAAGAUGCAGGUGUAUCUGCACAUGACCAGUGUGAGGACAGAAGACACUGCAGUGUAUUACUGUGCCCGUGACCCACAGUGAUACUUCUCCCUAGACAUCAGUACAAAAACACAUGCUUGCUAUAAUCACAUGACAAGCUCACAUUUUCAUAAGGAGUGUAUUCUUGGAGGUAAAAGAACCAAAAAUAUUUUGACUUUUACUGCAUGUGGCUUGUUAUGAAUGAUGUCUGGACUUUUAUGCUAGUGUAAGAUUACUUAAGUCAGUUCUGAAUAUAUGCAAUA